UAGGACGGCCUACCAAGGCGAUGAUGCAUAGCCGAGUUGAGAGACUGAUCGGCCACAUUGGGACUGAGACACGGCCCAAACUCCUACGGGAGGCAGCAGUAGGGAAAUCUUCCACAAUGGACGCAAGUCUGAUGGAGCAACGCCGCGUGAGUGAAGAAGGGUUUCGGCUCGUAAAGCUCUGUUGUUGGUGAAGAAGGACAGGGGUAGUAACUGACCUUUGUUUGACGGUAAUCAAUUAGAAAGUCACGGCUAACUACGUGCCAGCAGCCGCGGGUAAU
This 278-nucleotide ribosomal RNA is filed under the name uncultured Lactobacillus sp. RNAcentral's name for it is "partial 16S ribosomal RNA". It matches the Rfam family "Bacterial small subunit ribosomal RNA", at positions 253 to 524 of the family's 1533-position model. Lineage: Bacteria; Bacillati; Bacillota; Bacilli; Lactobacillales; Lactobacillaceae. The record is from RNAcentral.